RNAcentral lists this non-coding RNA (23 nucleotides) under Arabidopsis thaliana (thale cress). Lineage: Eukaryota; Viridiplantae; Streptophyta; Magnoliopsida; Brassicales; Brassicaceae. The record is from RNAcentral.
ACCGGUGAUGUCUUUACGGUACU